AGUGAACGCUGGCGGCGUGCUUAACACAUGCAAGUCGAACGAUAACGGGAUAUAGCUUGCUAUAUUUGUCAGCUAAGUGGCGCACGGGUGAGUAAUGUAUAGAUAACCUGCCCUCUAGAAAGGAAUAACAGUUGGAAACGACUGCUAAUGCCCUAUAUGCCUUUAAUACAUAAGUAUGCAAGGGAAACGCUUUAGUGCUAGAGGAUGGGUCUGUAUGGUAUCAGCUUGUUGGUGAGGUAAUGGCUCACCAAGGCUAUGACGCCUAACUGGUUUGAGAGGAUGAUCAGUCACACUGGAACUGAGAGACGGUCCAGACUCCUACGGGAGGCAGCAGUGGGGAAUAUUGCACAAUGGACGAAAGUCUGAUGCAGCAACGCCGCGUGGAGGAUGACACAUUUCGGUGCGUAAACUCCUUUUAUAUAGGAAGAUAAUGACGGUACUAUAUGAAUUAGCACCGGCUAACUCCGUGCCAGCAGCCGCGGUAA
RNAcentral lists this ribosomal RNA (485 nucleotides) under uncultured bacterium. RNAcentral describes it as "partial 16S ribosomal RNA". It matches the Rfam family "Bacterial small subunit ribosomal RNA", at positions 29 to 523 of the family's 1533-position model. The record is from RNAcentral.